This 448-nucleotide ribosomal RNA is filed under the name Serratia symbiotica. RNAcentral's name for it is "bacterial SSU rRNA". It matches the Rfam family "Bacterial small subunit ribosomal RNA", at positions 19 to 463 of the family's 1533-position model. Lineage: Bacteria; Pseudomonadati; Pseudomonadota; Gammaproteobacteria; Enterobacterales; Yersiniaceae. The record is from RNAcentral.
AUGGCUCAGAUUGAACGCUGGCGGCAGGCCUAACACAUGCAAGUCGAGCGGUAGCACAAGAGAGCUUGCUCUCUGGGUGACGAGCGGCGGACGGGUGAGUAAUGUCUGGGAAACUGCCUGAUGGCGGGGGAUAACUAGUGGAAACGGUAGCUAAUACCGCAUAACGUCGCAAGACCAAAGUGGGGGACCUUCGGGCCUCACGCCAUCAGAUGUGCCCAGGUGGGAUUAGCUGGUAGGUGGGGUAACGGCUCACCUAGGCGACGAUCCCUAGCUGGUCUGAGAGGAUGACCAGCCACACUGGAACUGAGACACGGUCCAGACUCCUACGGGAGGCAGCAGUGGGGAAUAUUGCACAAUGGGCGCAAGCCUGAUGCAGCCAUGCCGCGUGUGUGAAGAAGGCCUUCGGGUUGUAAAGCACUUUCAGCGAGGAGGAAGGGUAAUGUGUUAA